GAGUUUGAUCGUGGCUCAGAUUGAACGCUGGCGGCAUGCCUUACACAUGCAAGUCGAACGGCAGCAUGAUCUAGCUUGCUAGAUUGAUGGCGAGUGGCGAACGGGUGAGUAAUACAUCGGAACGUGCCCUGUAGUGGGGGAUAACUAGUCGAAAGAUUAGCUAAUACCGCAUACGACCUGAGGGUGAAAGUGGGGGACCGCAAGGCCUCAUGCUAUAGGAGCGGCCGAUGUCUGAUUAGCUAGUUGGUGGGGUAAAGGCCCACCAAGGCGACGAUCAGUAGCUGGUCUGAGAGGACGAUCAGCCACACUGGGACUGAGACACGGCCCAGACUCCUACGGGAGGCAGCAGUGGGGAAUUUUGGCAAUGGGCGAAAGCCUGAUCCAGCAAUGCCGCGUGUGUGAAGAAGGCCU
RNAcentral lists this ribosomal RNA (411 nucleotides) under uncultured microorganism. RNAcentral's name for it is "bacterial SSU rRNA". It matches the Rfam family "Bacterial small subunit ribosomal RNA", at positions 9 to 417 of the family's 1533-position model. The record is from RNAcentral.